UAUAUCACAAACAUCACCUUGGUCUGUUGGUCAAGCGGCGGGAGAGCGAGCCCGCUCGUCGCGAGUUUGUACUCCCGCUCCCCACGCCGUUGUUGUCUCGGCUGCCCUCUUACUUCUCCAACUCGUCCUGCUCCCAGCUCGCCCUCUUUAUCUGACUCCCGACGAAACAUGGAAGAGGAAGAAGGGGGUCACCAAAGUGGUAUCUCGUUGUUGAUAUCUGGUGCAACAAGGACAAGGGAUGCACCCCCGGUGCUUUCUCCUUCUUCGAUAAACAUUUGCAGAGCUUAUCAUGCGGCUUGUUCUAAACGUGAUACACAACUGGUUGAUUUAGAAGAAGAUGUUGCCGAUGAACAAGAUGUUGACUAUGAAGAAAAGGAAGAGGAAGAUGAUGAGGAUGAAGGAGAAGCAGAGGAAGAUUUUGCCGAUGAAGACGAAAGAGAUGAGGAUGUUGACAUGGGAACAUUUUCUGAACCGGGAAGAAAAUUUCUAUCCAAAGUUUUGAGAGAAUAUGAGCUUAAGUAUGUCGAUGGGACAGUGAUAGCUGCUGAAUGCAAACAUUGUGCAAGGAAGUUUUGUGCUGAGCGUAAACAUGGAACAAGUUCAUUGCGCAAACACUUGAAGAGGAGCGAGGAAAGGAAGAAGGCUCUUAGAGUUUCCGGCCAGCAUAAUGCUUCCAUCAUGAGCCCUGACGGAGUUUCACCACGCCAUUGGACCUUUGAUCAGGCAUUGACACGUAGAGAGCUCAUAAGGAUGAUAGUGUUGCACGAAUUAGCAUUCUCAUUGGUGGAAUAUGAUGGCUUUCGAA
This is a non-coding RNA of Lolium perenne, 805 nucleotides long. The record is from RefSeq and is a predicted model, not a curated record. NCBI's taxonomy places the organism in Eukaryota, Viridiplantae, Streptophyta, Magnoliopsida, Poales, Poaceae.